AUGCAGAAGUGCACGGAAACAGCUAUUUGCUAUUGAAAAGUUGGCUGUUACUGUUCUUCUGAUGG
RNAcentral lists this microRNA precursor (65 nucleotides) under Columba livia (rock pigeon). RNAcentral's name for it is "Cli-Mir-2131_pre stem-loop". The record is from RNAcentral. Lineage: Eukaryota; Metazoa; Chordata; Aves; Columbiformes; Columbidae.